Mauremys mutica (yellowpond turtle) is the source of this 1750-nucleotide long non-coding RNA. RefSeq lists it as uncharacterized. The transcript is spliced from 3 exons. NCBI's taxonomy places the organism in Eukaryota, Metazoa, Chordata, Testudines, Geoemydidae. The record is from RefSeq and is a predicted model, not a curated record.
ACUAGGUCAGAUCAUCAUAGAGGAAAACAUCCCAAUAAGAAAAGGGGGUAAUCGAACGUAGAAAAAGAGAGUUUCUCCACAUUACGAACAAUCAUAAAAAUGGAUUAAUCUAGCAAGACACAGGAAAUGCUUUGUUUUCACACAAGAAGUUACAUGGCAAAUCCAUCAGAAACACAAAAUGGAUCACUUGGAUUUCUCAGCUACUGUGUAACAAACUGGAUAAUAUAAUAAGGGAAUUGAUUUUUGGACAGUGAAGAUAGAAACUGCAUUUUUGUGGUUUCUCCCUCCUCACCGUUUAUCUUUGGGAGACACCUCUUCAUUCUAAAAUGUGGGGGGGGGUUGUUGUUGUUUUUUUUUAAACCAAAGUGCAGUUUGGAUUCUGUCCCAAUGGUUUUGCCAGGGAGGCAGUCAUUCUUGAAUUGCAUCUGACACUUAGCACUUCCUGUGUUAGGCAAAAACCUCAGGAGGAGGCCAGAAGGUUGACUUUACACUUGUAAAGACGUGGGAAGGUGUGAUCACACCCUCAAGGAGAACAUCUGCUGUAACAGGGCCUGAGUAUGGGGACUGGAUACUUGAAUUCAUUUUCUGCUUUCUAUUCAUCUCUCUACAGAAACAUGAAAGACAGUGUUUGAAAGAUACCUUGCAGCUAGGCGGACCCGACAUUUUGGUAACGGUUUCUGGCGACCCCAGAUGGGACACUCCUAGCUCGGACAUCGGACUCCGGACGGCUGCGGCGAACUAGGAGCGGCGCCACCGGGGUGCUUAGCCCCUCUUCCUCACUUCACCGCGGCCCCUGGGGUUCGUGCUCCGAUAAGGUAGCACCACUCCUGACUGCAGAGUGAUGCUAGAAUUAUCUGCAGCAGCCAGAGAGAAGGUAGAACAGCAUUUCAGCUUCAGCAUUCAAAGGAACAGAAGGAAAGACAGCCCGCAAGCAACAAAAAGUAAUGAAAGAGGGAUUAAAAUUUUCCUCUGCAGCAAUGCUAAUUCUUCAAGGAGCACAGAGUGUUUGGUUUUCUCAGGGAAUCCCCAGACAAUUAAACAUGCAGUCAAUUUAUUACUACAGAAAAAAUGUUAGCCCCCUAUUCAUCCUCUUCACGGGCAUGUAUUUGAAUUUGUUUAACAUAUGAAUUCAGUACUCAUGAAAGAUGCUGGUAUGACACCCUGCAGACCAAAGUCCUCUAUUUACCAACAGAACAGAUAUACAGGCUACAGGAUCAAAACAGAAGCUACCCUGUUUUCCUUACCCGUGUUCAAGUUCUUUAUGAUGCUUUUUCUUCUCUCAGAAGCUUUAAUGUUAGCACCCAACACUCAACAUCAGGCUUACAAUAACUAAAUGGUUCACACAUUCAGUGGUGGAAUAAUAAUAAACAAGAAUUGUUUAGGUUCCAUGCUACUGCGAGGCUAACGACAAACUAUUUUCGUUAGUUAAUAUUGUGCAAAAAGAGCAAUCAUUCACUGCAUUUUUUAAAUGCAUCUCUGGUUUGCUGCAUAACUGGUCUUCCCUACCCUGGAUGGAAGUGGAGAUAGGCACAAACGUAACCCAGAAAAAGAUAUACCUAGAUGACAAGAAGUAAAUCAUGGGAAGUAAAUCAUAGUGUCUCUCUGAUCCCCUCUCCCUCCAUAACCCCAUUAAAGUUUUACAGUCCUGAUCAAGUAGACCUGAGACUCGUGUUCAUUGGCUCUGCUGUGUGUUACGGUGUGGGACAGGACUGAGUCUGACAGCUGGGAGGAGGGAAGGAUCAAGUGAACU